This 465-nucleotide ribosomal RNA is filed under the name uncultured bacterium. RNAcentral describes it as "partial 16S ribosomal RNA". It matches the Rfam family "Bacterial small subunit ribosomal RNA", at positions 28 to 506 of the family's 1533-position model. The record is from RNAcentral.
GAUGAACGCUGGCGGCGUGCUUAACACAUGCAAGUCGAACGAUGAAGCCCAGCUUGCUGGGUGGAUUAGUGGCGAACGGGUGAGUAACACGUGAGUAACCUGCCCUUGACUCUGGGAUAAGCGCUGGAAACGGCGUCUAAUACCGGAUACGAGCUUCCACCGCAUGGUGAGUUGCUGGAAAGAAUUUCGGUCAAGGAUGGACUCGCGGCCUAUCAGGUAGUUGGUGAGGUAACGGCUCACCAAGCCGACGACGGGUAGCCGGCCUGAGAGGGUGACCGGCCACACGGGGACUGGGAACCGGCCCAGACUCCUCCGGGGGGCAGGGGUGGGGAAUUUUGCACAAGGGGCGAAAGCCGGAUGCAGCACCGCCGGGGGGGGGACGAAGGCCUUCGGGUCGUAAACCUUUUUUAGCAGGGAAGAAGCGAAAGGGACGGUACCGGAAAAAAAAGCACCGGCUAACUACGU